This 1028-nucleotide ribosomal RNA is filed under the name Ophiosphaerella agrostidis. RNAcentral describes it as "SSU rRNA". It matches the Rfam family "Eukaryotic small subunit ribosomal RNA", at positions 72 to 1110 of the family's 1831-position model. Lineage: Eukaryota; Fungi; Ascomycota; Dothideomycetes; Pleosporales; Phaeosphaeriaceae. The record is from RNAcentral.
AAUUAUACCGUGAAACUGCGAAUGGCUCAUUAAAUCAGUUAUCGUUUAUUUGAUAGUACCUUACUACUUGGAUAACCGUGGUAAUUCUAGAGCUAAUACAUGCUGAAAACCCCAACUUCGGGAGGGGUGUAUUUAUUAGAUAAAAAACCAACGCCCUUCGGGGCUUCUUGGUGAUUCAUGAUAACUUUACGGAUCGCAUGGCCUUGCGCCGGCGACGGUUCAUUCAAAUUUCUGCCCUAUCAACUUUCGAUGGUAAGGUAUUGGCUUACCAUGGUUUCAACGGGUAACGGGGAAUUAGGGUUCGAUUCCGGAGAGGGAGCCUGAGAAACGGCUACCACAUCCAAGGAAGGCAGCAGGCGCGCAAAUUACCCAAUCCCGACACGGGGAGGUAGUGACAAUAAAUACUGAUACAGGGCUCUUUUGGGUCUUGUAAUUGGAAUGAGUACAAUUUAAACCUCUUAACGAGGAACAAUUGGAGGGCAAGUCUGGUGCCAGCAGCCGCGGUAAUUCCAGCUCCAAUAGCGUAUAUUAAAGUUGUUGCAGUUAAAAAGCUCGUAGUUGAACCUUGGGUCUGGCUGGCAGGUCCGCCUCACCGCGUGUACUUGUCCGGCCGGGCCUUCCUUCUGGAGAACCUCAUGCCCUUCACUGGGCGUGUUGGGGACCAGGACUUUUACUUUGAAAAAAUUAGAGUGUUCAAAGCAGGCCUUUGCUCGAAUACGUUAGCAUGGAAUAAUAGAAUAGGACGUGCGGUCCUAUUUUGUUGGUUUCUAGGACCGCCGUAAUGAUUAAUAGGGACAGUCGGGGGCAUCAGUAUUCAAUUGUCAGAGGUGAAAUUCUUGGAUUUAUUGAAGACUAACUACUGCGAAAGCAUUUGCCAAGGAUGUUUUCAUUAAUCAGUGAACGAAAGUUAGGGGAUCGAAGACGAUCAGAUACCGUCGUAGUCUUAACCGUAAACUAUGCCGACUAGGGAUCGGGCGAUGUUCUUUUUCUGACUCGCUCGGCACCUUACGAGAAAUCAAAGUUUUUGG